Molecule: long non-coding RNA, 2833 nt
Organism: Mesocricetus auratus (golden hamster)
Lineage: Eukaryota; Metazoa; Chordata; Mammalia; Rodentia; Cricetidae
Exons: 3
Source: RefSeq, a predicted model, not a curated record
ACGCAUUCAGAAUGUAGCCGAGAGGUUUGUUUGUUCCUGGGGAGGGAGCUCUUUCUACCCUAGGCAGAAGCAGCCAGCCUUCCUAAAUACCCCGGGGCAGGAAUUCCAGGAGCAGCUUCCCACCUCUGGACCUCCCAGAUGCAUUUAGAAGAAACUGAACAGUAUUUCACUGCUGAACUCUGAAGGACCAAAAGAAUCCCCACUAAUACUGCCUUGAAGAAGGAUUUGAGGAACGCCUCCCGGAGAAUGUCUGACUAAAGCUUAGAGACAGUGUCUGCUUGUGUGCUUCCGCAGAAUGGUUUCCUCUCCCGAAGUCAGACACUCAGUACACGAUGGAAAUCAGCUUCUAGAAAUACAAAUGUUACCUCAAAUAUAAAAACCCAGCAGCAGAACAGCUCUUGGCUAAAUGAAGACGUCCUGAGGGCAGAGGACUGGGUUAUUUGCCCCAUGCCCUGACAACUGGAAGAGAAUUUUGCACGUUUGUGCAUUUCCGCUUAGUGAAUUCAUGUGUUUCUACCCCCUCCUCACGCGCAUUGGAAAUAAUGAAGAAGUACAUUUUGCUAACUCAUUCUAUAAACCAGCCACGAUAUUGAAGCACUCUCAGAGCCCCACUCAGCUUCUUAAAGCCCCGAGGGUGUGGGCUGCCCGGCUCUGGAUCAAGAGGACUUGUUCUCAUAGAUUAAAUAGUUUGCUCUAGGGCACCCAUGUUCUUUUUUUGCUGUGAUCAUGAUUUAAACCUAAUGUCUCCAAAAUGUUUUUUAUCUAUUGUAUCACAAUCCCCUUAAUGUAGCUCGCCAAGGAGCAGAAGCCUGUCCUGGGUGGUAAGCCCCCACUAUCCAUAAAACUAACCAGCUUUUCCCCUUCUCAUGUCUUUCUGCCCCUCUCAGAAACCCACCAAAGCACUCAAACCCACCCCUUGUGCAACAGUCUAUUUCCCAGCUAACCUGAGCAUGCGUCUAGCCUACUUACUCUUGGUCCCCAAAGGAGAGGGUCUUUAUGAAUUAGAUUCCUCACUUUAGUAAUAGGUACUAUACAGGGCAUAUGAUUCAGAGUGCCCUCUGUGAUGGCCUGGACAUCCCUCCUGGGAAUGUCUUAGUGACCAAAUAGAAAAAAACCAGCUUACCUCAGAGAGCCCAGAUCAUAUUUUUGAGUAAGGCUCAAAAGCACCAGGAUGGAUAUCGCCAUCUCUAUCAAAAUUAGGUCCACAUGACUCAUAGCGAUGAAUAGGUGAAAAGUACCCAAAUAUUGACCAGCCAAGAGAAAGACAAAAUAUAUCCAUGCAAUUAUUAUUUAGAAUAUCGUUUGGUCAUACGAAGAACUGAAGUUAAUUUACUAUUUCAAACUCUCUGGGUGAAAGAACUUUUGAAGUAGGUGGCACUGUUUUAUUCAUUAUGAAAAUGAUUCCCCUGGCAUCUAAUUAGAAUCUGAUAGCCUAGUGGCCUUUCCAUUUUGACCUGUAAGCCCCCGGGUUUUCUAGGCUCUUUUGUUUUUCCAGCAUCCUCUGCAGUCAUUACCUCAUCUUAUCUCUGAUUGAAAGCCGUUUCCCUCCCCUGCUUCUAUACCUUUGAAUCUUCUCCUUUUGUUCCCAACAUUUUUAUGAUUGGGACAUUUAAAGUUAUUUUAUCUUAAUUAAUUUACUAUCCAACAGUUUCAUACCUGUAUAUGAUACAUUCUGCAUACACUUCCUCACAUACACUCUUUAUUAUCCACCCUCCCCAACACCUCAAUUUUUAAAUUUGUUUGUUCAUUUUCUUUUGUUUGCUUUUUUACCCACUAGAUUUCUGCCAGGGACACUUGCGUGGACAUGGAUGGGAGUCUAUCUGCAGUAGCAUAAGUAGCUCAUCAGGGGUUAUAGAUGGCUUUCUACACACUCCCAACAGUCCUUGACUGCCAUUAACUAUGCUGAGUGAGGUGAGGCCCGGUGAGGCCCUCCCAUCUAUGAUUGAGCGUUCACACAACCCCUGUGAGUUUAUGAGCGUCACGUUACUCUCUUAAGACAGUGUCUCACCAUCCUCUUCUCUAUCACCCACCUCUUAGAUUCUUUCUGUCCACUGUGCUGUGAUGUCCUCUGAGCUUUCAGCAUGUGAUUAUGGGUGUUCUACUUAAGUCUCAGUGCUCAGUAGUCACUUGCGCUAAGCACCUUGACUAUCCUCAAGUCUCCAUAGUAACUGUAUUCACUACAGUGAUGAGCUUCCUUGACUAAGGCUGAGGAUAAGACUAAACUAUGGUUAUAAACAUAAAUAGCUAAAAAGCAGUUUGGUAACAAAUUAAUUCAUGGGCUUUUGGCCAGAGCAAUGGCAUUCCUCCCUUAGAGCAGAUCUCAGAUCCAAUUAGGAAUCAGUUGGUUGGCUGCACCCCUAGUCAGCUGCAACACUCAGGGGAUUGGGCCCUACACCUUGCCAGGGCAGCACACUAGAACUGGCCCUGGUGGCGUGAAUAUGGCUGAGUAGGUGAGUUGACACCAAGGGCAUGAGCCAGGCAUGGGAGAGCUGGGCCCGUCCCUCACCUGGACAAAGCUGGAGCCGUGGUGCUGGUGGCACAGGCAGAGGCAAGCAGGCAGCCUGACCAACUCAGCUAUCAUGCAGGCCCAGCUUCAGGGUUGAGUUGGCCCACCCGUGCAGAACCAAAGAUGCAGGGUCUCCAGGACACAGGCCAACAACAGGAUAUUUGAGAGGAGUCCUCGUGUGGCUCCAGUGUUGACAGUGUGGCAGAAAGCAGAGGCUUUGAACUAGACCAACAAUUCACCUAUUGCAAUGAGCAUUUAUAAUCAAGGCUGUUUGGGUAAAGGGUAGAGUGGGUGACACACAAUCGUACACCACAGCUUUCACUGCAA